This 1564-nucleotide ribosomal RNA is filed under the name Electra pilosa. Its description in RNAcentral is "SSU rRNA". It matches the Rfam family "Eukaryotic small subunit ribosomal RNA". Lineage: Eukaryota; Metazoa; Bryozoa; Gymnolaemata; Cheilostomatida; Electridae. The record is from RNAcentral.
UUGUUAGAUAGCCAUGCAUGUNUAGGAAAGCCGCUUUAGCGGCGAGACUGCGGACGGCUCAUUAAAUCGGUUAUGACUCCACUGGGGCCCGACUCUCCACGUGGAUAACGUGCGGUAACUCCGGUGCUAAUACAUGCAACAAGGCUCCGACCGCGGCUUCGGCCGCGGGAAGGGCGCACUUAUUAGGCGAAAACCAAUCGGCUUCGGCCGUUGGUGGACGACACCCGAGUAAUUGCCGCCGAUCGCACGGCCUCGAGCCGGCGACGCCUCCACUGAGUUUCUGAUCUAUCAUGCUGUCGACGGUUGGUGCUAUGCCAACCGUGGCGUUAACGGAUAACAGAGAAUCUGGGUUCGAUUCUGGAGAGGCCGCAUGAGAAACGGCGACCACUUCCAAGGAAGGCAGCAGGCACGCAAAUUACCCACUUCGGACACCGAGAGGUAGUGACGAACAAUACCGAUGCGGUGCACUUACGUGUCGCCGUAAUCGGAAUGAGUACACUUCAAAUCCUUUAACGAGGAUCCACUGGAGGGCAAGCCUGGUGCCAGCAGCCGCGGUAAUUCCAGCUCCAGCAGCGUAUAUUUAUAUUGCUGCGUUUAAAAAGCUCGUAGUUGAAGCGUCAGACGCGGGAGGACGGACGGCCGCACUGGUCGCUUCUCGUCCGACCGAGCCAGGCGCAGAGGGCGUCCGUCGGUUGCACUUCACCGUGUGAUCGCGGCGUCGCUGCACGUUCACCUUGAAGAAAUUGAACCGCUUAGAGGGGGCGAGCAGCUUGUACAGCUCAGCAUGGUAUGAUGGAACAUGGGCUCGUACUCAUUUUGUUGGUUUUGGAGUUCGCGAGCCAAUGAUUAANCAGGGACUGCCGGGGGCAUUCGUACUUCAAAGCUGAAACUUAAAGGAAUUGACGGAAGGGCACCACCAGGAGUGGAGCCUGCGGCUUAAUUUGACUCAACACGGGAAACCUCACCCGGCCCGAACACUGUGAUGACAGACAGGUUGAGAGCUCUUUCUCGAUUCAGUGGUUGGUGGUGCAUGGCCGUUCUUAGUUCGUGGAGCGAUCUGUCUGGUUAAUUCCGAUAACGAACGAGACUCUUGCCUGCUAAAUACGCCGGCGUCGACUCAGGUCGGCGACCGCAUGCUUCUUAGAGGGACAAGCGGCUUUUAGUCGCGUGAAGCGGAGAGCAAUAACAGGUCAGUGAUGCCCUCAGAUGUUCGGGGCCGCACGCGCGCUACACUGCUUGCAUCAGCGUGUGUCACCCUCGCCGGCUGGCGUGGGCAAUCCGUUGAACCGCAAGCGUGCUAGGGAUCGGAGAUUGCAAUUAUUCUCCGUCAACGAGGAAUUCCUUGUACUUGCGAGUCAUCAGCUCGCGGGGAAUCUGUCCCUGCCCUUUGUACACACCGCCCGUCGCUACUACCGAUUGAGUGGUUUAGUGAGGCCCACGGACUGCGCGCGGCACCCGGCGCUUCGGCGUCGCGUCGCGAGCGGAAAGUGAGACGAACUUGAUCACUUCUAGGAAGUAAAAGUCGUAACAAGGUUUUCGUAGGUGAACCUGGGGAAAGGAUCAA